GGCUCAGGAGAAACGCUGGCGGCGCACAUAAGACAUGCAAGUCGAACGGAAUUAGUCAAAUGUUUACCAUGAGACGAAGAUUUAGUGGCGGACGGGUGAGUAACACGUGAGCAACCUACCUUCAAGAGGGGGAUAACAUUGAGAAAUCAGUGCUAAUACCGCAUAACACUAUGAAAAGACAUCUUUUUUAUAGUCAAAGGAGAAAUCCGCUAGAAGGUGGGCUCGCGGUUGAUUAGCCAGUUGGCAGGGUAACGGCCUACCAAAGCGAUGAUCAGUAGCCGAGCUGAGAGGCACAACGGCCACAUUGGGACUGAGACACGGCCCAGACUCCUACGGGAGGCAGCAGUCGGGAAUAUUGCACAAUGGAGGAAACCCUGACGCAGCGACGCCGCGUGAAGUGAGGAAGGCCUUCGGGUCGUAAAGCUCUGUCAAGAGGAAAGAAGUGUACAAUGGCUAAUACCUGUUGUAUUUGACGGUACCUCUAAAGGAAGCACCGGCUAACUCCGUGCCAGCAGCCGC
Molecule: ribosomal RNA, 519 nt
Filed under: uncultured bacterium
Lineage: Bacteria
Description: bacterial SSU rRNA
Rfam family: Bacterial small subunit ribosomal RNA
Source: RNAcentral